UACGAAGGUGGCAAGCGUUAUUCGAAAUCACUGGGCUUAAAGGGCGCGUAGGCGGAUAUGUAAGUGUCAGGUGAAAUCCCUCGGCUUAACCGAGGAAUUGCCUGACAAACUACAUAUCUUGAGUCAAGUAGGGGUGUGUGGAACUCUUGGUGGAGCGGUGGAAUGCGUAGAUAUCAAGAGGAACGCCGAAGGUGAAGACAGCACACUGGACUUGUACUGACGCUGAGGCGCGAAAGCGUGGGGAGCGAACAGGAUUAGAUACCCCCGUA
This 269-nucleotide ribosomal RNA is filed under the name uncultured prokaryote. Its description in RNAcentral is "partial 16S ribosomal RNA". It matches the Rfam family "Bacterial small subunit ribosomal RNA", at positions 524 to 792 of the family's 1533-position model. The record is from RNAcentral.